This 30-nucleotide non-coding RNA is filed under the name Homo sapiens (human). Lineage: Eukaryota; Metazoa; Chordata; Mammalia; Primates; Hominidae. The record is from RNAcentral.
UGAAGGGAAACCUGAAGAAAGGCGGUGCUA